GACGAACGCUGGCGGCGUGCCUAAUACAUGCAAGUUGAGCGCUGAAGGUUGGUACUUGUACCAACUGGAUGAGCAGCGAACGGGUGAGUAACGCGUGGGGAAUCUGCCUUUGAGCGGGGGACAACAUUUGGAAACGAAUGCUAAUACCGCAUAAAAACUUUAAACACAAGUUUUAAGUUUGAAAGAUGCAAUUGCAUCACUCAAAGAUGAUCCCGCGUUGUAUUAGCUAGUUGGUGAGGUAAAGGCUCACCAAGGCGAUGAUACAUAGCCGACCUGAGAGGGUGAUCGGCCACAUUGGGACUGAGACACGGCCCAAACUCCUACGGGAGGCAGCAGUAGGGAAUCUUCGGGCAAUGGACGAAAAGUCUGACCGAGCAACGCCGCGUGAGUGAAGAAAGGUUUUCGGAUCGUAAAAACUUCUGG
Molecule: ribosomal RNA, 423 nt
Filed under: Lactococcus lactis
Lineage: Bacteria; Bacillati; Bacillota; Bacilli; Lactobacillales; Streptococcaceae
Description: bacterial SSU rRNA
Rfam family: Bacterial small subunit ribosomal RNA
Source: RNAcentral